This 206-nucleotide long non-coding RNA is filed under the name Panax ginseng (ginseng). RNAcentral's name for it is "long non-coding RNA (PGIN_LNC018066)". Lineage: Eukaryota; Viridiplantae; Streptophyta; Magnoliopsida; Apiales; Araliaceae. The record is from RNAcentral.
UCAUUGUAAAAUUAAAAAUUGAAAUGUUGAAAAGAUCACAUAAUUCAGUAGAAAUAAACUUGUUUAAACUAUACCAUUUACUUGUCGUAAGAAUAGUAUAACAAAACUUCUGGGUAAACAAUAUUUGUGGUGCAAUUUGACCCAUCUUCCGGAAGGAGGACAAUAAUACGAUAUGAAGAUGUGCAUCUAGAUAGUGCCACAUAAAG